RNAcentral lists this ribosomal RNA (467 nucleotides) under uncultured bacterium. Its description in RNAcentral is "partial 16S ribosomal RNA". It matches the Rfam family "Bacterial small subunit ribosomal RNA", at positions 28 to 507 of the family's 1533-position model. The record is from RNAcentral.
GACGAACGCUGGCGGCGUGCUUAACACAUGCAAGUCGAACGGAAAGGCCCUGCUUUUGUGGGGUGCUCGAGUGGCGAACGGGUGAGUAACACGUGAGUAACCUGCCCUUGACUUUGGGAUAACUUCAGGAAACUGGGGCUAAUACCGGAUAGGAGCUCCUGCUGCAUGGUGGGGGUUGGAAAGUUUCGGCGGUUGGGGAUGGACUCGCGGCUUAUCAGCUUGUUGGUGGGGUAGUGGCUUACCAAGGCUUUGACGGGUAGCCGGCCCGAGAGGGUGACCGGCCACAUUGGGACUGAGAUACGGCCCAGACUCCUACGGGAGGCAGCAGUGGGGAAUAUUGCACAAUGGGCGGAGGCCUGAUGCAGCAACGCCGCGUGCGGGAUGACGGCCUUCGGGUUGUAACCGCUUUCGCCUGUGACGAAGCGUGAGUGACGGUAAUGGGUAAAGAAGCACCGGCUAACUACGUG